This is a long non-coding RNA of Hyaena hyaena (striped hyena), 479 nucleotides long. RefSeq lists it as uncharacterized. NCBI's taxonomy places the organism in Eukaryota, Metazoa, Chordata, Mammalia, Carnivora, Hyaenidae. The record is from RefSeq and is a predicted model, not a curated record. The transcript is spliced from 3 exons.
AAGGAUGUUCUUCAACCUGAUCAAAUCUGGUCAUCAGACUGUUUUUGUCUGGCCUGUAAAGUUCUCACAAUAAAGCUCUCUGGAGCCCUGAAGAGUGCAACAGCAAGUGUCCUGUUUCAAGAAGCUCACCUGGAAUAAGAAUGAAUCUUAAAUUUCCCAAGACUUCUAAAAGGUUAGUUCUUUGCAAAGGAAUCUGAUGUAUCUUGCAAUCCAGAUAUUAAAUAUCCAUGUAGGGAAGAUAAUCUACAUCCUGAAAUAUCACAUUAAUAUUUGGGAUGGAAAUUUACUGAGAAGGAAUGAUGUGACUUUAAUCAGUUUGAUAAAUAUGAACAGAAAGGAAAAGCAUGAUGAUAGUUACCUGGAAGAAGAAGAUUGCCUAACUAAAGUUUGACAGUCUUAGAGCUAGGAUUAACUUUCCGAGAUCAGUUGAUUCUUUCCCUGUCUUAGAAAAAGAGUAAGUGUACCACAUCAUAAAUAAA